Molecule: microRNA, 22 nt
Filed under: Capitella teleta
Lineage: Eukaryota; Metazoa; Annelida; Polychaeta; Capitellidae
Description: cte-miR-216a
Gene: cte-miR-216a
Source: miRBase by way of RNAcentral
UAAUCUCAGUUGGUAAUUCAGA